CAGUCGCCGCGGUAAUACGAAGGGGGCUAGCGUUGCUCGGAAUGACUGGGCGUAAAGGGCGCGUAGGUGGUUAUGUAAGUGAGAUGUGAAAUCCCCGGGCUCAACCUGGGAACUGCAUCUUAUACUGCGUAGCUGGAGUGCAGUAGAGGGUAGUGGAAUUUCCGGUGUAGCGGUGAAAUGCGUAGAUAUCGGAAGGAACACCAGUGGCGAAGGCGGCUACCUGGACUGACACUGACACUGAGGCGCGAAAGCGUGGGGAGCAAACAGGAUUAGAUACCCCCGUAGUCCCUGUCUCUUAUAC
This 301-nucleotide ribosomal RNA is filed under the name uncultured bacterium. Its description in RNAcentral is "partial 16S ribosomal RNA". It matches the Rfam family "Bacterial small subunit ribosomal RNA", at positions 509 to 807 of the family's 1533-position model. The record is from RNAcentral.